RNAcentral lists this ribosomal RNA (468 nucleotides) under uncultured bacterium. RNAcentral describes it as "partial 16S ribosomal RNA". It matches the Rfam family "Bacterial small subunit ribosomal RNA", at positions 28 to 507 of the family's 1533-position model. The record is from RNAcentral.
GACGAACGCUGGCGGCGUGCUUAACACAUGCAAGUCGAACGGAAAGGCCCUGCUUUUGUGGGGUGCUCGAGUGGCGAACGGGUGAGUAACACGUGAGUAACCUGCCCUUGACUUUGGGAUAACUUCAGGAAACUGGGGCUAAUACCGGAUAGGAGCUCCUGCUGCAUGGUGGGGGUUGGAAAGUUUCGGCGGUUGGGGAUGGACUCGCGGCUUAGCAGCUUGUUGGUGGGGUAGUGGCUUACCAAGGCUUUGACGGGUAGCCGGCCUGAGAGGGUGACCGGCCACAUUGGGACUGAGAUACGGCCAAGACUGCUACGGGAGGCAGCAGUGAAGAAUAUUGCACAAUGGGCGGAAGCCUGAUGCAGCAACGCCGCGUGCGGGAUGACGGCCGUCGGGGUGGAAACCGCUUGCGCCUGUGACGAAGCGUGAGUGACGGUAAUGGGUAAAGAAGCACCGGCUAACUACGUG